RNAcentral lists this ribosomal RNA (615 nucleotides) under uncultured bacterium. RNAcentral's name for it is "bacterial SSU rRNA". The stretch from base 1 to 521 matches the Rfam family "Bacterial small subunit ribosomal RNA", at positions 338 to 873 of the family's 1533-position model. The record is from RNAcentral.
CCUACGGGAGGCAGCAGUGGGGAAUUUUCCGCAAUGGGCGAAAGCCUGACGGAGCAACGCCGCGUGGGGGAUGAAGGCCUCUGGGCUGUAAACCCCUUUUCUCAAGGAAGAAGACCUGACGGUACUUGAGGAAUAAGCCACGGCUAAUUCCGUGCCAGCAGCCGCGGUAAUACGGGAGUGGCAAGCGUUAUCCGGAAUUAUUGGGCGUAAAGCGUCCGCAGGCGGCCUAUUAAGUCUGUCGUUAAAGCGUGGAGCUCAACUCCAUUUAAGCGAUGGAAACUGGAAGGCUAGAGUGUGGUAGGGGCAGAGGGAAUUCCCGGUGUAGCGGUGAAAUGCGUAGAUAUCGGGAAGAACACCAGUGGCGAAGGCGCUCUGCUGGGCCAUAACUGACGCUCAUGGACGAAAGCCAGGGGAGCGAAAGGGAUUAGAUACCCCUGUAGUCCUGGCCGUAAACGAUGAACACUAGGUGUCGGGGGAAUCGACCCCCUCGGUGUCGUAGCUAACGCGUUAAGUGUUCCGCCUGGGGGAGGUACGCGCGCGAGUAGUAGUAAACGUAAAGGUAAGUUAGACGGCGUGAGACGUCGCCGAACGGACGACGACGAGGGGUAGGUUAGG